CGGUGGAAGCCAGAAAGUCCAUGCCAGCGGGCUGAAGGAGCUGUGCUGGUAGGAUGAGGGUUCUGUGUUGGAGCUGAGAAGUCACACUCACAACAGAGACCAGGGCUGUCCUGAAAGGCACCACAGCCGUCCUCAGUGACACGGAGGCCCCGAGCUCCUCCGAGGACAAGCACAGUCGGGUACAUGCCAGGAAGCAGCGUGACGAGUUCAUCCUGGAGACCAAGCAGCACAUGUCUUCCCCUCCGGAGCCAGGAAGCAAUGCUCGAUGGAAGCAAUGCUCGAUGUGAGGACCAAAGCUUCUCCAGGAGAACCAACAGCUCAGACAGCAACUCGUAGGAGAACCCACAAUGCUUCAAGGCAAGGACGCAUUAACGCCUCAGCAUCUCAACACCUCCCUUCUUCUCCACCUAUUUAUCCUGGCAACCCUCCUCAGGUGGAGCAUCUUCCCUCAGUGCCAUGCUGAUGUAAUCCAGCUGGCGUUAAGUUGACCACCAGUUCUUAACCCAUAACCGUUGUGGUGAGAGGGAUUGAUGUAUAGCGGGGCCAUCCGGCCCGGCCCUCUCCCACAUGAGCCUGUCAUCUUGGGGCUUCUCCUAUGUGUGUGUAACCUUUCUUCUUCCGAAGACGCUCAGCUCAUCUGCUGGAUUAGAGGCAGCGCUAAUUACUUGCUGCAAAGCUGAUUACCUCUGCAAAACUCUGCUUCCAUGAAGUCCCGAUCACUAGCCGCAGUGUGGAUAGAACUUCCGCAUUCUUUUUUGGGGGGAGGGGACACAGUUCCCACAACACCUACUCUGGCUCAGAAAGUAGCUGCCCUGCCCUGACUUCACUCUUGCGCCUCACCACAGCCCUCUGCAUGGACGACUGUCACCUCCCUCUCCCACAAGCCAGAGCUCCUCCGCUCUGCACCCCCAGAGCUCAGCCUCACCUCCCUGGUGCAGCCCCAAAGCGGCCUCCGCGGCUCAUCAGUAACCAGAAGGGGAGCAGCGGGCAGAAUAAAUCUGACUCCAAAAUUAAUGUAGCUCGGGGAAAAAAAGUACAUUUAUUCAUUUCAACUUCUUGUUGCGAGACUCGUAAGUGAAUAAAUCCGGAAUAAAUGUAACUGGGACGAAGGGAGAAGCCGCGAUAAACGCAAUCCCCGUCGCCCUAAAUGAAGACAAAGGCUCCAAGACAGUAUUAAAUCUCUUCCCCGAAGGCUCAUUUCAUUUCAGACCCAGAUUUCCACAAAAUUAAGUGCUCCAGCCCGGCUAAGCCCCGAUGCGCUGCUUUCUGCCGGGUCCUGGCCCCGCCUUCCCGCGGGUCUCCGGGGUCACCGGGGUCAGGCCAGGCUCUGUCUGCGCAUGCGCCAGCUGCCCCACCCCCACGCUGAACUCUGAAGACGCCCUGGCUUCCUCAGCUCUCAGUUGGCUUCCUCUUCACUGGGGGACCCAAGGCCUGUGCUUGGGUUCCCAGGAUAUUUGCACAUCUUACCUGCAGCCUCCUCAGGCCCAGGGGGAAGCCGUGCAGGGAUGCACUCACCUGUGCCUCCGCCCAGGAGGUCACCUGGUGUCUCGUCCUGAUACACUGGCAUGACUGGACACAGGCAGCCCAUGUGUGGGGCGGAAGCAGCCAGAUCUCCACCUUGUUCACUGCGUGUUGACCGAGGAUGGACUUCGUCCUUACCCUGCAUCCUACAGACCUGGGGCCUGGGUUUCCUCAGGGUUAGGGAGCCUCAGGGAGGGGGAUCAGCGAGGAGCUGCAGUGGGAGCCCCCUCCCAGGACAGUCCCCAGCUCGUGCUGGAGGCCUUGUCUACUCCCCAGGGGAGGAUGACCCGGCCUGCUUGCUCAGAGGACAGGUGACACUGCAGGAGUUUGACCCUCUGAAACUGCCAUUCCUGGGGACCCUACCCUUUAUGCCUGGCAUCAGACAGGGCAUCAGAGUAUGAGGAAUCAAAUUCAGUGGCCCUCCCUGGCCAGUCCCUGCCCUCACGCUCGAUGGUGUCACCAGCUGUGUCUCCUACAUUGUGAACUGGUCUCAGCAUUUCAGCAUCUGACUGACUAAGCAGAACCGAGUACUGAGUACUGAGCACUGAGCACAUGCGAUAGGCUUCCAGGGACUCAGAGAGACCCUUGGCAUGCUAGAUGACAGAUGUCAGUCUCCUGUGCUGACCGUGUGCCCUAGUGUCAGACAAUGUCAGCAUCAGGAACCUUGUGCCUGGCGUCCCCUCCUCCCCUCCGCAGAGGUCCCGCUUGGUGAGGCUCUGGCUGUGCGGCAGGGUAGGAGUGCUUUUAACCAUGGUAACAGUGGCACACGUCAGCACCUGCUGCUCGCUGGCGGGGCCGGCCCCGCUUUCCUUCAGCGCAUCUUGUGAGAAAGCCUAGCACAUCGGGGCUCCUGUACCAGGGCUGGGACUCCCUGGAGGGGGGAAGUGUGUUCUAUUUUAAUCUACUGUGUGGUAAUGGAGGGAGCUAUAUCAUUUAUAUUACAUCAUAUAAAACAUAUUAUGUGAACUUUA
Cavia porcellus (domestic guinea pig) is the source of this 2492-nucleotide long non-coding RNA. RefSeq lists it as uncharacterized. The record is from RefSeq and is a predicted model, not a curated record. The transcript is spliced from 2 exons. Lineage: Eukaryota; Metazoa; Chordata; Mammalia; Rodentia; Caviidae.